GGGAGUAUCUCAGUGGUAGAGCACAUGCUUAGCAUGCACGAGGUCCUGGGUUCAAUCCCCAGUACUGCCA
Molecule: transfer RNA, 70 nt
Filed under: Camelus bactrianus (Bactrian camel)
Lineage: Eukaryota; Metazoa; Chordata; Mammalia; Artiodactyla; Camelidae
Also listed under: 2 other names
Rfam family: tRNA
About the family: Transfer RNA (tRNA) molecules are approximately 80 nucleotides in length.
Source: Rfam by way of RNAcentral